RNAcentral lists this ribosomal RNA (968 nucleotides) under uncultured Dehalococcoides sp. RNAcentral's name for it is "bacterial SSU rRNA". It matches the Rfam family "Bacterial small subunit ribosomal RNA", at positions 91 to 1070 of the family's 1533-position model. Lineage: Bacteria; Bacillati; Chloroflexota; Dehalococcoidia; Dehalococcoidales; Dehalococcoidaceae. The record is from RNAcentral.
GAUAGUGGCGAACGGGUGAGUAACGCGUAAGUAACCUACCUCUAAGUGGGGGAUAGCUUCGGGAAACUGAAGGUAAUACCGCAUGUGGUGGGCCGACAUAUGUUGGUUCACUAAAGCCGUAAGGCGCUUGGUGAGGGGCUUGCGUCCGAUUAGCUAGUUGGUGGGGUAAUGGCCUACCAAGGCUUCGAUCGGUAGCUGGUCUGAGAGGAUGAUCAGCCACACUGGGACUGAGACACGGCCCAGACUCCUACGGGAGGCAGCAGCAAGGAAUCUUGGGCAAUGGGCGAAAGCCUGACCCAGCAACGCCGCGUGAGGGAUGAAGGCUUUCGGGUUGUAAACCUCUUUUCAUAGGGAAGAAUAAUGACGGUACCUGUGGAAUAAGCUUCGGCUAACUACGUGCCAGCAGCCGCGGUAAUACGUAGGAAGCAAGCGUUAUCCGGAUUUAUUGGGCGUAAAGUGAGCGUAGGUGGUCUUUCAAGUUGGAUGUGAAAUUUCCCGGCUUAACCGGGACGAGUCAUUCAAUACUGUUGGACUAGAGUACAGCAGGAGAAAACGGAAUUCCCGGUGUAGUGGUAAAAUGCGUAGAUAUCGGGAGGAACACCAGAGGCGAAGGCGGUUUUCUAGGUUGUCACUGACACUGAGGCUCGAAAGCGUGGGGAGCGAACAGAAUUAGAUACUCUGGUAGUCCACGCCUUAAACUAUGGACACUAGGUAUAGGGAGUAUCGACCCUCUCUGUGCCGAAGCUAACGCUUUAAGUGUCCCGCCUGGGGAGUACGGUCGCAAGGCUAAAACUCAAAGGAAUUGACGGGGGCCCGCACAAGCAGCGGAGCGUGUGGUUUAAUUCGAUGCUACACGAAGAACCUUACCAAGAUUUGACAUGCAUGUAGUAGUGAACUGAAAGGGGAACGACCUGUUAAGUCAGGAACUUGCACAGGUGCUGCAUGGCUGUCGUCAGCUCGUGCCGUGA